UGAAAAAUAAAUCAUUAUAAUACCGUCCUAAACACUGAUAUUGAAAGAAUAAAAUCAGUAAGCUGACAUAAGUGGAUACCAUAUAACAAUGAUCUUAUACAAGGUGCAAUUUAGUUUAGUAUAUAGUCCCAGAUUUUGUACCAAAAUUUCCAUCAAGACACUUUGGUCAAUAAUGUGUAUGCAAAGAAGCAAAACAUUUAAAAAGUCUUGGCUAACAAGUAAACAAUGAAAACUUUAGUUUGAUUGAAAACAUUUUAUUCUAUUACUGAAAAGUACAUUAAAGAGAAAAGUAACUUCACUCGCACAUACACGCCUACAUACACACUCAUGCACAGGCACAUGCACGCACUGUUAAGGAGAUCUCAAGUCAGAGAAGUAAGUGAAAUUUCUUCAGAAACAGCAUCAGCUUGAGGAACUGUCCUAUGUUUCUGUGGCAAAUACAUAAAGUAUUUUAACUCGCAUCCCCUACAAUACGAACUCGGUUUUAGGAAUGGACAUAAAAGAGGAAACAAAAUAUCGGAAAUGAGUUUCUAAACAACUGUUUAAGAAUGAAAAAGACAUGGAUUCUUUAGCAGCAAAAUCUUGAGCUUUAUUUAUUGGUUUGUUUGCUUAGCUGAUUCUGUUUAAGUUCAAGGCAAACCGGAGUCAAGGUAAAGAACUGGCAAGGCCAUAGGAUUAAAAAAGGCUCUAAGUACAGGCUAGAUCUGUUUACCUCUUCCUUUAGAAUUGAUAAGAACAGAUAAGUGUGAAAUUUCAUUUCACAUGAAGUGUGCUUCAGAAUGCUGAGAGGAUUAAAAGUAAAUACUAACAUAUUAUUCUAUCUGCCAUAUCAAGAUGAGCUUAUCAGAUAAUAAUUUGACAAAGAGGUUCAGAUUUGCCUUCUGUGAAUUGUCCAGUUCAAACAUAGUGUUUUUGGGGCUUAAGGAGUAGGAAGGACAGCAAAGGAGAGGGUCAAGACGAUCUCAUGGAGGGGAGCAACAGUCCUUGGACCUAUCUCAUAAGACAGGACCUCACUGAGAACUCAUUACAAAAAAAGGAUUUUAUUGACAAGGAACUCUGAAGUCAUUCCUUUGUGGUACCAAAUGGUCACUAGAAGGGGUGAAGUCCUAUCUUCCUUCAGUACUAGAUUCAGAUACCAAUGUGUACUGCCCAUGUAACAUGGAGGCCGGAGUCUUAUACUGAGUAUGAAGUGGUAAGGCAUAUCUCUUCCUAACUGUUAGUGAGAAACAGCUUGUAAAACUGCCAGCUUCCAAUUAGAGGUCCUGAAACAUGACACAGAAAUUACAGACCUUGAAGAUCCAAAGACUCCCUUUUGUUACAUUUUGGCAAAAACAUUAAAUACAAAAAUCCUUAGCUGUCUUACCAGUCUAAAUAUGAGUCAGACUAUUUAAUUAGCUACUUAAGAUCACAGAAUAAAAUAAAGAAUCUAAAAUACUUUAUGCUCCUCCAACGUGCAUGUAUACAAAAAGUUAAAUUAGCAAUUAAAUAUCUCACCAGUGAUGAGAAUAUUGAGUUGACCUAGAAGCCACAGAUUAUGCUUUAGCCAAGAUGCCAAUUUCUAUAUGAAAAUUAAACUGUAGAGGUGGUGCCAGCAAAAGUCAUGGAGUAAGAAUAGUGAAGCAUUUAUUCUCCAUAAAAGCAGCAAAGGAGCUAGCACAAACGAAACAACCUUUUCCACACUACGGACAUUAACCAAAAGCAGAGAGCAAUCUGUGGCCGUGAACUCAUGAUAAUGUGGCUUAACAAGGGUAGGGCACAGCAAACUUGAACUUGUCCUAGCUCCAAACAUCCUACUCUAAUGCUAUGGCCUGAAAACAGCCACAGGGGCAGCAUCUGGAGGUAACACAGCACACAGGGCAGCAUCUGGAGGUAACACAGCACACAGGGCAGCAUCUGGAGGUAACACAGCACACAGGGCAGCAUCUGGAGGUAACACAGCACACGGAAGUGGGAUGAAGCUCCUUGAAAGAAAGCAUCAUUUCCAGAAAAACACCAUCAUUUAAGCAGCCUGGUGGUUCUCGAGGUAGCUACUCAUAAAGAGGUCUGUACAUGUCCUGGCAGUACUAAAAGCCUCUGGGUAGGAGCGAUGACUGCCAACAGUGACAAGAAAUCCAGGGACUGCAUGGCCGCCAGCGCCAGUGGACAGUGCACAAAAUUACACUAACCAAAGCCUUAACAAGAAGGUCCAGGCAAUGGGAUGUCCACUGGGAAUCUGGAGUUCUCAUACUUUCUAGCAUUCUAGAAGGAAUGUGUAUGUUUGUGCUCAGGAAAGAUCCAAGAAGGCCCAGACUCCCGCCUGAGACUGCGCAGGAAGGAGUAAAAGCUAAAGCUAAGCUGAGAGGCACCCGCCGUGUUGCACUGGACCCAUACACAGAAAUGCCCCGGCAGUCUACACUCACAGCUUGCAAGAAUUUAAGAAAAUCUCUAUUAAUCAGCACACUAACUGAUAGGAGCUAGAGUGAACACACAGCAAGGAAUAACGACCUUGUGGAAUUUAUUCAUAAGGAUUACUAAAACAAAUGCCAAUAAAGAACCAAGGAUAUGACAAACAAACAAACAAAUAAAUAAAUCAUAAAAAUAAAUUCAAAACAAGAAAAUAUGAUAAAUACAAGGAAGAUAAAAGAAUUAAUAAGCAUUCUGGGAAAUCUAGACUUUGAUAUUAAUAGACAAAACCUUUAAAUUUGAUUAAAACCUUAAAAAAUUAAAAUCAAUACCUUAAAAUGAUGUUUUAGCAAAUAAACAAUACCAAUGAAGACACAAAUGUCACUUAAACACGGACUGAAAUGCUGAAGGGGAAAACAGGAAAACUGAAGCAAAAGUUCAGAAGAACUCACGAGCAGACGUGAGCAGGCGGAAGGACAUUAACUGAGGUGAGCCACACCAAGGAACACAUAGAAGAGGCCACAAAGAGGUGUGGACAGUUUUAAAGACACGUGAGCUAAUAAAAACAAUAGGAUUUAAAGAAAAGAGGACAAAUAUUUGAAGAAAUAACGCCCAAAUCUUUCUCAAACAUGAAAACUAUUGACCUAUAUUCUUACGAAACUCCAAGUAGAAUGAAUCAAAGAUACCAUACCCGCCACAUACUGAAAGGAGUGAGUGAGUGAGUGAGUGAGUGAGUGAGUGAGUGAGUGAGUGAGUCGGAGCACAAGAGAGGAAGAGAGAGUGGGGAGGGAGAACACACCCCAAAGGAUGCAGAGAAGGACUUAUCCCAUGAAGCUGAUCCGCAUUCCUUCAGGUUCCACAGAUAGAAGGCUGAAGACAAACCAGAGAAAGCCAAGGGAAGAGCAUGGAGCUCAGCACUGGCGCAAAGAAUGUGACAGGCACACAAUACCCUUGUUCAACACACAAAACUAAGAGACAAAAAGAACUACUUAAAAUUUAUACCGUCUGGGACUAGAGAAAUGGUCGGCAGUUAAGAGCACUGCGUUCCAUUCCAGCACGUAUAAGGUAGCUUAAAACCAUCUUAAUCUCUAGGUCAAGGGAAUCUGAUGCUCUCUUACGGCUUUCAAACACCAAACAUGCUAAUAGUGCAUACACAUACACAGGCAAACCACCCAUAAACAUAAAUAAUUAAAUUUAAAAAAAAAUUGUAGAAUCAUAGAAAGUCACCCACUAUAAAACUAACUUGAAGAAAACAACUGAGAUCUAAAGCAGGUAAAAGGCUAAUAAGAGGCAUGUGUGUGUGCCUAUUUUGUAAAAAAUGAAAAAUUCUGAACUUUACAGUGUAUUUGACUUAGGGAUUUAGGCUACUUAUAACAUAACCACUGUGUACUACUGUUAUGUUAUAAAUGCAUGCACAUUCCCACCUUAUGGAUUUGUAUACUGAGGCCCGCCCUCCAAAAGUGACACUUUGGGAGGUGGAGCUUUAGGAAGAAAUGAGCAUAGAUGUGGUUACAUGGAAGGACCCCUCACAAUCCCUCACAAUAGAACUGUAUGAAGAAUGAGCAAUCAAAGCUUUGCAUUGUACUAGGUAAGGACAAAAGAAAAAAGGCAGACAUGUUCACCCAGGAAGCGACAGCUAGGGGAACUGAACCUACCAGCUUCCAGAACUGUAAGAAAUGGAUUCCGCUUAAGCAUUGCAGACUGUUUUUAACACUUGCUCGAAAUGAGACAAAUAUACUGAACAUGCACACAAAAUGAAAAAGGGCAAAAACAAAACAAUUUUUUUAGAUGGAACAUAAUACUCUGUUAGGAAAAGCAUUAUAGUUCUUGUUGUUGUUGUUGUUGUUGGUGGUGGUGGUGGUGUGUGUGUGUGUAAUUAGAUUCACUUUUUAUUUUUCAAAAAGGGAGAUAACAGAAAUGGAAAAUAUGAGAAACUGAAGUUCAGGUAUCAUGUUGUAGAAGAGGAAGCAGACAAUGUUUAAAAAGCUCAAGUUCCAGAUGGAAAUCGAAAACACUAUCCUGAGUGAGGUAACUCAGACCCCAAAAGAUGAAUAUGGUAUGUACUCACUCAUAAGGGGAUUCUAGCCAUAAAUAAAGGACAUUGAACCUAUAAUCCGUGGUCCUAGAGAAACUAAAUAAUAAGGUGAAACCAAAGAAAAACAUAUAGUUAUUUUCCUGGAUAUUGGAAGGAGACAAGAUUGCCAGGCAAAAAUUGGAAACUUGGGGGAGGGUAGGGGGAAAGAGGAGAUGGGGAGAAAAAAGUGAGAAGGGGGGAUGGGGAGAGCUUGGGGGAAUGGGAUGGUUGGAAUGGAGGAAGGGUGGAUAUGGGAGCAGGGAAGUAUAUAUUUUAAUCAAGGGAGCCAUUUUAGGAUUGGCAAGAGACUUGACUCUAGAGGUGUCCCCAGGUGUCCAUGGAGAUGUCCCCAGCUAGAUCCUUGGACAGCUGAGGAGAGGGAGCCUGAAAUGGCCCUAUCCUAUAGUCAUACUGAUGAAUAGCUUGCAUAUCACCAUAGAACCUUCAUCUGGUGAUGGAUGAAGCUAGAGACAGAGAUCCACAUUGGAGCACUGGACUGAGCUCCCAAGGCCCAAAUGAGGAGCAGAAGGAGGGAGGACAUGAGCAAGGAAGUCAGGACCGCGAGGGGUGCACCCACCCACUGAGACGGUGGGGCUGAUCUAUUGGGAGCUCACAAAGGCCAGCUGGACUGGGACUGAUGGAGCAUGUGUUCAAACCGGACUCUCUGAACCUAUCGGACAAGGAGGGCUGACUGAGAAGCCAAGGACAGUGGCACUGGGUUUUGAUUCUACUGCAUGUACUGGCUUUAUGGGAGCCUAGCCUUUGUGGGAUGCUCAUCUUCCUAGACCUGGAUGGAGGGGGGAGGACCUUGGACUUCCCACAGGGUAGGGAACCCUGACUGCUCUUAGGACUGGAGAGGGAGGGGGAGGAGAAUGGAGUGGGGGAAUGGGAGGAGGUGGAAAUUUUUAAGAUAAAUAAAUUAAUUAAUUAAAAAAAAGCUCAAGUUCCACAUGAGCUAACAAUCAUCAGGAGUUUACAGUCAGUCUUCCUCCUGAAAGAAGUACGCUAGUGUGCCUGUGCAGGUGGUUCACAUACACUGUGAACGCAAAGACAGCUCAGUCUUUAAGAGCCCUGUCUGCUCUUCCAGAAGACCCAGGUUCAAUUCCCAGCACCCUAAUUGGGCUUACAAAAUAGCCUGUAGCUCUGGCUCCAGAGGAUGGUUGCAAUUUUGGGAAAAGGUGUGGAGCACGGACAUCAUGCAUCACGGUGGGUAGAAAGAAGUGGCACUGCUGACCGCCCUGUCAGGUCACUUCUUCCUAAGCAAGUGACCAGACAUCAGAGACUGUGCAGUGCAGGAAAACUGCAUGAGUAUGCUACCAUUACUUCAAACAUAAGCUCUUUAUCACUCUCUUCACAUCGGGUGUCUUAAGAGUGCUUAUUAACCCAUAUAAGGUCACAUCAAUUCAUUUGAAUAGUUUGAAAAGAAUGGUAACUAACCUUUGUUCUCCCUAGCAACCAUCUGGUUUCCUGUGUGCAGUGGCGGUAGGCAUUCGAGGAGGUCCCAGUCCUUGAACUGAUGCUCUAUGUACUAUAUUCAUCAGUCACCAAGACUUCCUCACAGAUCAAAGGAAGUCACAUGGUUUCCAUUGUUUAGGCCUGACAGGCCAUAUCAAAAGGAACUAUGAUUAUGUGAACAGAAUUAUGUUAAGAAUGGCCCCAUUAAUAUGAUUUUAAAUGCCGAAAGAUAAAAGCUUUCAGCUCCACCACGUGUAAUACUUCAAAGUUGCACAAAUUUUCAUGGUGCUAUCAAUGCAGCAUCACUCAGCUCGUGAAGGCAGCUACUUUUCCUUGUUAUCUACAAGAAGCAAUUUAUUUAGUACACUAUCACGCUAAUGAAAGAGACUUUUGUAUAGCUGGAAGAAAGAGGGCUGCUAAGACAAAGGGAAGCCUGAGCAGGAAGAAGUAUCCGGAGGAGACAUAAACAUCUUCUUAUUUUCAUCUCAGCCAUGUUCAAAGACAGUACAGAGAUCCCGGUGUAUCCCUCAACCCGAUUCUCCAAGGGUCGCAGCGAACAUCCUUUAUUAUUUUUGUCCUGUGUGCUUACGGAUCAGUUUGAGGAUUAGAAAUAGAUAAAAUGCUUUGUCAUACCUAUGUCUAAAAAUGCAGUAAUGUUUUUAACAUAAGCACAAUUCAACCAUAGAAACCAGGAAAUUAAUUCUCAUAUGACCAUAGCCAAAUCUGAAGCAUGUCAUUUACAGAAAAGCAAUCUCCUCCAGUCUAAAAUGCAACCCAGUGUCUCACGCAGCUUUUGUCAUUUCAGUAACCUUCAGUCUGAACCAAGUCCUAAUUACUUUUUUUCUCCAUAAUCUUGACAUUUUGAGACCAGGGCAAUUAUUUUAUAGAAUGUCCUUCAAGCUAAAUGGUCUAUUUCUCAUGAGUAUUUUUUUUUUAAGAAACAGCUGAGAAAUGUUACUGAGUCCUUCGAAUAUAUCAUAUUAGGAAGCACAAUCAAGUCUAUUUGUCCGACAACUGAUGAGGUUUCUCUACUGUAAAAGUGCCACUUUCCUUCUCUAAUACGUUUUGUGGUUUUAUACUUGAGAAGAGGCAACACUUUAUCCUUAGCAACUGUUUGCCUUUAAUUUCGGCAUCUAUAAGUCUCUUCCUAGAAAUGGUACACGUUAUCUGUUGAAUUCUGUUUUCUAGCAUGCUGGGUUUUUCUAAUUUUUUGUUUAAUGAGCUUUAUUUGGCUUAUUCAUUCACAUCAAUAUAGACUCAUAGAUUUGUAUUUUAUUCAUGGAACUAUUAUCAUUACUGUUACUAUAUAUACUGUUAAUAUUACUAUUCAGUACCUAAAUGGUCCUACAUUUACCCAGUGGUAGACCUCAAAAAGUUGGUCCCUUCUGUUCUGAGCAUUUUUCCUUGCUUUCUGGAACAGGAAGCUGUUCUCAGCUAUCUUUGGCUCUCCCAGGCACAGUACUAGAAUCAGGCAUUUGCCUGGGUGGUCCUAGUUCCUUUUCAUGGAGUCAGUCAGGGACUGCCUAUUAGAAAACAAACACUCUAGGCAGGAGCCACUAAUUGACCUGUCUCUUCCCCUUUGCUCUCAACUUUAUUUUCUUAUGUGGCUUUUAUCUUUUGUUAGCCUUUUGGUAGCUUGGAAUGUUGUGUUCACUUCCAUUUUUACUGACACUGUGUUUUGAGCUAUGUAUUUCUCUGAUCACUGUUUUAAGUUGAUCUUCUAGCACCGACAAAGACAUUAAGCAUCAGCUCAACAACUUGAAGAAACAGCAUUAGUUCAACAAUCAGAAUGAACAGGAAGAAAGAGCCCAGGCCUUUUGAUACAUUUCUACUCCAGACUUGAGUAUUCCUUAUCAAAUGUGUGAGUAUUUCAAAUUUUAAUUUUUGCAAGCUUUGGCUACUUACGUAAAGUUUACCCAUUGAGUAUCUUUAAUCCAAAAUAGAAAAUGGAAAUCUUACAAAAUCAGAAACGUCUUGAUUACCACAGACUACUAAAUAGUAGGUCUGCAACAUCUGGACAGGGGUGCUCAGGUAAACCAUUAAGUUUUAGAAAUUCUGCUGUCUACUCACUCAGGAGGUGUUGACUAUACAAUUAAUUUUCAAGUGGAAGGGGCCUUAGUUUAUUGAUUUCGUUUAAAUUUCUAGUUUCAAUAAGCUGUAUUUAGAAUAAUGUAUGUACUAUAUCUACUUUAUAGAAUUUGCUGGUACUCUUCUUUCUGACCCAGUUAACAUUAUAAAUGGUUUUCCACAUGGACUUGGAGAAAAGGCGUAGUCCCUAUUAUCCAGAUAGAAAGUUCUGAAAUAUAUAGUGAUUAUAUUUGGGUUCUCUCUCUCUCUCUCUCUCUCUCUCUCUCUCUCUCUCUCUCUCUCUCUUUCUCUCAUACCACAGUCUUGACCCUUUUACUCAUAUUAUCACUUCUCCCACUCUUUGACUAGACUCUGGGAGCCUGGCCCAGUGAUAGCUGUGGAUCUCUGAAUCUGCUUCCAUAAGUUGCUGGAGUUUCAAGCUAUUUUGAAGAUAUUAUAAUGAAUAUAAAAAACAUUGACAGAGAGAUAUAAAUAAAUAGUUCACAAGCUAGAAAUUCAGUAAUGCUGAAACAUCACUUCUCCACAAAUUACUUUUAGAUCGUGCAAAUUCAGAAUAAUCUUAGUAGACAUUUCAACAGGUGUUACAGAAUUCAAGAUGGAAAUUGAAAUGAUAUACCAAUGUCAAAAUAACUCUGAAAAAGGAAGAUGAAAUUGGAAAAACUUCUGCCUGAUUUCAUGGUUGACAAUAAAGUUCCAUUAAUGAAGCUUCAGUACAAGGACAUCCAAAACAGUGGGGCAGAGCUCAGAAAUACUGGACAGAUACCCCAAGAGAGUAAGAGCUGCCCAAGUUCAAGGAGGGAAAAACCAAUCUCUAUGCAAACUGCGCUGGAACAGAUGGGUACCAAUAUAAAAAUAAACAAGUCACAAAAUUAACAUUAACCAAAUAUGAACUUGGAAUUAAACUAUAGAUUUUCUACAAGAGAAUGUAGGAGAAAACUACCUUAAGAGAGACAAAAAUUUAUGAGAACAUAGAACAAAUGGGAAAUAAAUAAAUUGGAUUUCACCAAAAUAUAAGAAAUAAUAGCACAAUAAUAUUAAGAUAAAAUAAUGCCACAAACUGGGAAAAGACACAAGCAGUGAAUAUAUUUGAUAAAAUCCUUGACAUAAAAAGCUUAAUGAUUUUAUAAAAUGUCAUAGUAGAAAAACCCACUGAUGAUUACACACUGUAAUACAUACUGAGAUUGUCACCACAAGUAAGAGUGAUAUAUUAACUAAAACUAUUAAAUGAAUAAAACCAGUGUACCAGUUGGAGGGAAAAAACAAACGGGCAACUUCUCACAAAGUUAGCCAUUAAACAGUAGAUGGAAAAUCUUUCCUGCAAGGUAUUUAUCCACAAAAAAAAAAAAAAAAAAAAUCAAUGAAAACCCAUACUUGCACAAAGAUUUAGUAUCAAAAAGAAAAUAAGCAAGAUAAGCAAACCAGGAUAUAGACACACCAGAUUACUUCUUGGCAGUAAAGCAGAGUAAAUGAUACAAAAUGAAGCAACGUGGCUGGACAGCAACAGUGUGGGGCUGGAGACACAAGCAAGCUGACUCCCAGCCCCCAUUCUAGGUACUCAGAGCACCUGUAAAACUCCCACUCCAGAGACACAAAGGCUGCCUCUGUUUCCAGGGGUGCUUGUACACCCAUGGUAUGAAAAGAGAUAACAGAAAUAAAGAUAAAUUUUAAAAACAUAUAGCACUGUGCUGUGGCAAAGCAGGCAUUUCUGUGUUUCACAUCUAUGAAAUUAUUGAGAGUUUAAACUAAACUGUGUAAGACCACUGUACCUGGUCUGAGCUGCAGGGAACAGAGCACAAAGUCGAUUUAAAGACAUUUGUGGGAGUUCUAUGCAUUGGCAUAGUUAUUUGGCCAAAAAAAAAAAAAAAAAGAAAGAAAGAAAAA
Molecule: long non-coding RNA, 9880 nt
Organism: Alexandromys fortis (reed vole)
Lineage: Eukaryota; Metazoa; Chordata; Mammalia; Rodentia; Cricetidae
Exons: 2
Source: RefSeq, a predicted model, not a curated record